Molecule: non-coding RNA, 503 nt
Organism: Miniopterus natalensis
Lineage: Eukaryota; Metazoa; Chordata; Mammalia; Chiroptera; Miniopteridae
Source: RefSeq, a predicted model, not a curated record
AAAAAUCAAUGGAAAAAAUAUCAGCAGGUGAGGAUUAACAACAACAAAAAAACACCAAAAAAACCCUUGAAGUUUGGCACUGAAACUCCUUGUCAGAGAGAGCGAGCACAGUGUUCUACAUAUAAUGGGCACAUAAAUAUGCUGACGGAAUAAAUGAAAUUUCUUCUAUGUGACAUACAAAGAGUCCAAUUCAACUGACUGGCAUUGUAUUAGUUUUGAGGUCAACCAAGGGAAAGUGAGAAUGAAAUCAAGGAGACCAAGAAGCUUCUACGAUGCCCUUCUGAAGCAUUCUCAAGACAAGGGUCCCCGGAUGUCUCUGCUUUUAUGAUCUUUAGGUCCCUAUCUUGAAAGCUGGAGUCCCAAACUAUAUAUCUUCUGUAUAAAAGUGUCGGGCAAAGGAGUGUGACUUAAAUUUUAUUCUAUAGUUCCUUUAAGGAAAUUUUCUGAAAGCUGUAUGAUCCCAUAGUCGUAAUAAAGGAAACAAAGUAAAGAUAAAAUCUGAA